Molecule: ribosomal RNA, 433 nt
Filed under: uncultured bacterium
Lineage: Bacteria
Description: partial 16S ribosomal RNA
Rfam family: Bacterial small subunit ribosomal RNA
Source: RNAcentral
AACGAACGCUGGCGGCAUGCCUAACACAUGCAAGUCGAACGAGACCUUCGGGUCUAGUGGCGCACGGGUGCGUAACGCGUGGGAACCUGCCCUUAGGUUCGGAAUAACUCCCCGAAAGGGGUGCUAAUACCGGAUAAUGUCUUCGGACCAAAGAUUUAUCGCCUUUGGAUGGGCCCGCGUUGGAUUAGCUAGUUGGUAGGGUAAAAGCCUACCAAGGCGACGAUCCAUAGCUGGUCUGAGAGGAUGAUCAGCCACACUGGGACUGAGACACGGCCCAGACUCCUACGGGAGGCAGCAGUGGGGAAUAGUGGAAAAUGGGAGAAAGCCUGAUCCAGCAAUGCCGCGUGAGUGAUGAAGGCCUUAGGGUUGUAAAGCUCUUUUACCCGGGAUGAUAAUGACAGUACCGGGAGAAUAAGCUCCGGCUAACUCCGUG